This 406-nucleotide ribosomal RNA is filed under the name uncultured bacterium. RNAcentral's name for it is "partial 16S ribosomal RNA". It matches the Rfam family "Bacterial small subunit ribosomal RNA", at positions 29 to 526 of the family's 1533-position model. The record is from RNAcentral.
AUUGAACGCUGGCGGCAGGCCUAACCCAUGCAAGUCGAACGAGUGGCGGACGGGUGAGUAAUGUCUGGGAAACUGCCCGAUGGAGGGGGAUAACUACUGGAAACGGUAGCUAAUACCGCAUACCAUCGGAUGUGCCCAGAUGGGAUUAGCUAGUAGGGUGGGUAACGGCUUACCUAGGCGACGAGCCCUAGCUGGUCUGAGAGGAUGACCGGACACACUGGAACGUAGACACGGUCCAGACGCCUACGGGAGGCAGCAGUGGGGAAUAUUGCACAAUGGGCGCAAGCCUGAGGCAGCCAUGCCGGGUGUAUGAAGAAGGCCUUCGGGUUGUAAAGUACUUUCAGCGAGGAGGAGUUACUCGCAGAAGAAGCAUCGGCUAACUCCGGGCCAGCCGCCGCGGUAAUAC